This 42809-nucleotide long non-coding RNA is filed under the name Panax ginseng (ginseng). RNAcentral's name for it is "long non-coding RNA (PGIN_LNC007453)". Lineage: Eukaryota; Viridiplantae; Streptophyta; Magnoliopsida; Apiales; Araliaceae. The record is from RNAcentral.
ACUUAAAAAGUGCAGCCAUCCAAUUUCUACACAAAUCAGUCACAGAGAUAUCUCUAAAGGCCCCCAUAGAAGAAGUCCAUAGAGAAAUAAGGAAAAUAAUCAUAUCAUUCAACAGCUUAAAAGAAGAUUCAAACAAGGCUAAUAAAGAAGUCAAACCCAUUUAGGAACCUAAGUGAUUGUGUUAGGGUUUUAGAUGGAUUGUUGGCCUUUAGAAAUCUGCAGAAAGAUUGCAACAGAUUAAGUCACCACUGAGAGUCUGAGAAGUGGCAACUUUCAUUGAUUUCUUUAUCAAUGGCCAAAACUAAGUGUUUGCUGCCGGAAGCUAUCACCAUUGUUGAUUCCCUGCUCAAUUUUAGGCAGAAGAGGGUCAUUAUGUAACUUUAAGCUGUUUAAUAGAUAAAUUACUUUUAGAUCUGACCUUUUAACAUAUAGAGCUUCGUCCCUACAUCAUCUUAAUUGCUUGCUUGUAAGCUUUCUUCAACUUCUCUAUAACAUUUGACAAUUAUUUAUUAAAAGCUAGUUCUUUAUGAUUUUCUAAAAAUUAUUGGAAUCGGUCAUCCUUUAGUAGAUGAAUGUCAUAAGUAGAUGGGCAGACGUUCAGAGUUCUUUGUCUAACUAAAAAUUGAUAGUAAUGGCUCUUUGUAAUUGGGAAUUAACUCAUAGGUUGAUUGUUCAUUUACUUUUUGUAAGGUAUAUAUCUCUUAUUCUGUUCUGUUUAGUAUGUAUUUUAUAAAUAACUUUCUUUACAUGGUUAUUGUGCAGGUUGUAGCUCUUGUUUGCAAUUUUUCAGGGUCAUGUAAUUCAGUAACAGGAAGACUUAACCACUCGGAAGUAGAAACUCUCUUUCAUGAGUUUGGACACGCCCUGCAUUCAUUGCUUUCAAGAACGGUAUUCUAUUGGGCCUUUAAGUCAACAUUGAUUUUAUCCUUGUUUUUUGAGCCAUUUUUUUUUGUUGUCACCUUUACCUCACAAUUAUUGUUGCAGGAUUACCAACAUUUCUCAGGAACAAGAGUAAUGUUUGAUCUAGCCGAAACACCUUCAAAUCUCUUCGAGUGAGUAUAGUGCUACAAUUUGAAUGCCAACUUUUCUGAUUAUCUGUAUUUCAUCAUGGAUUUUUUCCCCCUGUUAUUGUAUGAUGAAAUUUGUUAAUUUUAAUGGCUUUUGGUUGCAAAUUGGUUGUCUGUCGUUUUGAUAUUGAAAAGUUUCUACUUUCAUAUUCUGCAAUUUCACAAUGGGUUGAUGAAAAAAUAUUUCUACUGCUAUGAAGUUCUGUUCGGUUUUAUUAAGUUUGGUCGUAGACUUGUUUGAUAUUCAAUUCUCGAAUGUUAUUCUUCUAACUUUGUGGUACUUGAAUUAUGUCUUUUUGCACAUAUAUAGAAUACAAAAUAAUAUGCACAAGUUAUACUGAGGGUAAUCAAAAACCAAUAUUCUAAAACCAUUCAGAGGAAAUGUUUUAGUACAAAUUUUUGAGUUAGUCUUUAAUUAAAAGAAAAAGACAAUGUAGAAUUUGUGUUAGGUAUGGAUAGUUACUUGGUAUAGUUUUUAAGGUUAUUAGUGUGAAAGAGAUCAUAUUGCAUCUGGCUUCCUAGUCAGCUCUUAUAAGCUCUUCAUAGGUCACUUAUAAUUGGUCCUUCACAGCUCAUAAACAAGUUUACCUUUCACCUACUAGAGAACAUGGUUUUUAGACCCGGACCGGCGGUCAAACCGAAAAAAAUCGGAACCGGUCAGCCCUCAGAUCCGGUUUAGACCAAUGACUCAUUUUUGUACAAAAACAGUUUAAAACCGAAAAAUCGGCGGUUGAACCGCCUGACCCAGCGAACCGGUGACUGGUUCGUGAGUUAGACCGGUUCCCUAAGUAGAAAAGAAAAAAAAGGCUUCAACCUUUCAUUCUGCAGGUUUGUUCUUCUGCUUCUUCUUCUUCUUCUUCUUCUUCGUUGCGUUCCAAAUCCAUUAUACAUACCCAAUAAGUCUUAACAAUAUUUACAAAUAAUAAUCACAAAACAAUGACAAAAUAAUAUCCAGAUCUGAGCCAAAACAAAAAAAUCAAAAAGAAAAGAGCGAUUGUAUUCUAACCGGACCUUGAUUUCUUGUCUAUGAUUUUAUCCCGAAAGGGUCAUUGGACAAGUGGAUCUUCCCCCAAAAUUCGGGUCAUCGAGUGGUAGGUGGCUUGCCUUUCAUGGGACUUGAGGUGUAGGAUUGUACUCGAUGCGGCUAAGGCACUUUCAUACCUUCAUCAUGAUUGUCGGUCGCAGAUUGUACACCUUGAUGUGAAGCCAGAGAACAUUCUUCUUGAUGAGAAUUAUCGUGCUCGUGUUGCGGAUUUGGAUUUUGGGGAGCAAAAGAAGUAUUCUCUGUAUAAGGAUUUUAAGGAGAGAAUAUGCCAACAAUUAAUAUGAUAAAAGAAGGGGACUUGGAUCAUCCUCCCAAUUUAAGGACUUUAAUUUUUAUUAGACAUCAUGUUUUGACUAGAAUAUGCCAAAAGCAUAUUCCCUUUAUGUUCAUUUGUAUUAUUUGAUUUAGUAUCUUUCUUUUCAUAUAUAUUUAGUAUUUAUUUGAAUUAUAUAAAGUAAAUAUUCAAUAAAUAGGUUUAGUUUUUUUGUGUAGAUAAAGUGAUUAAUUUUAUAUAUUUACUAAAUAUUAUAUAUAAUAUAUAAUAAUUUUUUAUUAUUUAUUACAUAUUAAUGACGUCACUGGGUCAAUAACGGUUCGACCACUGGUUGAACCAGUCUACCCGGUACCUUUUCCAGUUCGAUGAGACCGGGUUUGAAAACAUUGCUAGAGAAUAAAAGUUAAAUGGUGGGAAUGAAUUGCAUCUAGCUCGCAUUUCCCCCUUUAAAUUUGUGUUAAUAUGGAUGUAUCUAAUUGCUAAAGUGUUCGUGGUGGACACUUGACACCAGGGUAAGCGUUAAAAAGAUGCAUCUGAUAUGUCACAUGGAGCAUGCACCAACAGGUGUAUCCAGAAAUUCUUAUUUGCUGUAAUUGUAUUUGAAACUCUUUUGGUACAUCCUUUGAGCAUGGUUGUUUCUGAACUAGCCGAAUGAUCUCCAAAUACGAACUCUAUAAUCUUCUGUGAUAAAAGGUUAAGAUCAAUUCAUUGUCGUCCAGGUUUCAUGUCAUUGAGAAGUAGGCUUUAGGAUUUAGUCAUUGUUCUAUAGAUGCAAAAGCAUAUAUGACAUGAAGCAUAAAAUUAUUGACUGAAAUAUUGGCCAACCUAAUGUUGGGUUUGGUGAUUUUUCUAGGUACUAUGCAUGGGAUUAUCGGGUGUUAAGGACAUUUGCUAGACACAAUUCAACUGGGGAAACGAUACCCAAAAAAUUGGUGGAGGCAAUGCAGGGAGCCAAAAAAAUGUUUGCUGCAACUGAGUUGCAACGUCAGGUAUUUACCCGAGGCCAUAAAAGACUUCACAGCAAUCUUCAUAACUUUUAAGAAUUAAGAGAAAACAUGUCUUAAUCAAUGCGUGUUGCUUCCUAUCAUCACCAGAUUUUUUAUGCAUUAGUUGAUCAAACGCUAUACGGGGAACAGCCAUCUGCACCAAGAGAUACAGUUGCUGUUGUUCGGGAUUUAAAGCUACAAUAUACCAGCUGGAAGCAUAUGGAGGGUACACACUGGCACACCCGGUUUACUCACUUUUUAAAUUAUGGUUCAGGUAAUCUAUAAACAAGGAUUUCUAACUUACAUUACUUUUGUAAAGAUAACUAAUGCUAAUAUAAAUAUAUAGACAUUGGCACAUCAUGGUGACAUGUGCACGUUUGACAUGUGGUGAUUACAGGACGACUGAAUGAUCUGUAAACAAGGAUUUCUAAGUUACAUACUUUUGUAAAUAUAACUAAUGCUAAUUGCAAAUUGGGUGCUUAUGUAUGAAGAUUACAAAAGAUUAGUUCUUAGAAUUUAAUAAAGAUAUGAAAAUAUUCAUCUUAAUCAGUCGCUAAUAUAAAAACAUAAUUCACCUACUUGUAUCUCUUGUUUUUAAGUGUAGUCACUUCCUGGCCCUGCAGGGCUUGCACAUCCGAAUUUUUAAUUAUUAUUUUAUUUUUUGGCCCGCGGUGUGGGGGAGGUGGAGGAGCGUUGUUGUGUGGCUCUGGAAUAUGCUUUAAAUUAGAUAAUUAUUGCCUCCGUCCCCAGAAGGAUGAGAUAAAGUAUAUAAAGUGAAGGGUAAAUAUGUCAUUUAGUGGGGUCCAUUAGUAUAAAAAAAAAAAAUUACUCGUUACAUUAUAGAAUUUUGUGGGUCAAUUGAGGAUAAAUUUGAAACUUUUUAACUUUGUUUCCUCUACUUUUACUUUUACUAUAUAUGUUGUCUUUAAUCUGUGUAGGUUAUUAUAGCUACUUAUAUGCCAAGUGCUUUGCUGCAACCAUAUGGCAAAAGAUAUGCAAGGAGGAUCCACUGUCAUUAGCCACUGGAUCUGCUAUUAGAAUGAAAUUCUUACAGCAUGGUGGAGCCAAAGACCCAGCAGAUUUGUUGAAUGAUCUUGUAGGUGAUGGGAUUCUGACGUAUCGUCAUGGAGGUAUAGUUCCUGACGUUACAAGCCUCUGCGAUGAAAUGGGAUUGUUGAAACCGUAGCGUAGCAGGCACACUUCCAAAAAUUAAAUGGAAAAUAGUGAACAUGCCUCAGAAUGCCAUUGUGAAGAGGACAGACACCAGGUCGUCUCAUGAGAGGUUCAUCUUUUUUGCAUUUAACGAGUGUUGCAAUUCAAGCAUAGGUCUCCACCGACACGAAUAAUUGUUUACAUUUGAUGAAGUGUUGAAAAAAAAAUAUUUAUUUGACAUACAUGGGAAAUAGGCUCAAUAAUUGCUUAAGAUAUGUGUUGCUGGGAAUAUAUUGAUUUGUUUAACCAAACUUGUCCACAUGAAGUUAUUCGUGUUGCUUAAGACAAGGUUUUCAGGUAUACUGAUGUUGCAUAACUGGUCCAAAGAAGGGCACACUGUAGUGCAAAGAUGGCUGUCUUGGUGGUCACCAACCUCCCUAAAUGACGACAAUUGCCUUGGGGAGAACUGAUUGAGCCAAGGAGGAAGGAAGUACGCUGUGUUCAUCAAAAUGUAGAUUGAAUAAUAUUGUUUUAUUAUUAUUGAUUCUACUUAAUUUAACACCUACCUUCCUGAUAUAAGGUUAGGACUACUCUUCACCAUCAUCAUGUUCACUAGAAUCCAAUAAAAAUGGCGACACAUGAGGCACAAAAAUUAGUUAAACUUUAAACAAUCUUUAAAAUAUCAAUAUUAUAUUUGGAGGGAAUUGAUGGGACGGAUAGAAGGGUGUGGAUAAAUUGUUUGGGAAAAGGCAGCAGCACAUAAUAAUAAAAUGUAAUGUAUUUAUCAUCAUGCCACGUCCUCUUCUUUUAAAGAAUGAUUCAAAGUAUAAUUUUCUUUUAUUUUAAAUAAAUGACAAUAAACACAUAAAAUAAACAGUAUAGGUUUACUUGCACAUAUCAUGUUCAAUUUAUUUAAAAAGUUGCAUAAUAUCUAUAUUGAACUUAUUUUUUUAUACAAAUUUCAAAACUUAAAAUGUUUACGAAGUAUAAAUAAUUCCACUCCUAGUGAUUUUCAAUUAUAAUUGAAUUAUUUAGAUUUGGAAUACAAAACAAGAAGGGGAAAAAUAAUCACCAGAAUUAAUUAACUUUGGUAAGAGAAAAUUAUACAACAAGUUUUGACUAUUGUGAAGUCGAUUAUAGCUCUAAUGUGUAAAAUGAGAUUCAAGACACCAAUUAUAUAUAUAUAUACACACAUAUAAUUGUAUAAGAAUAAAAAAAAUACUCUCUCCGUCCAUGAUAAGUAUUUAUUACUAUUUUAGAUAGUUUCAAAUUAAAUAUCUACUUAUUUUAAAUAAUUUAUUUUUUAUAAUAAUUGACCUAUAAUGGACCAUCAUUAAUCAUUUUACAAAAAAUUAUACAAUUAAAUAAAAAAAAUUAAAUAUAAAUAAUUUUAUCACUUUAUUUUCUUUCUUAAUAUGCGUACAAAGCCGACCAAGCUUAUCCUAAAGACUGAAGAGGAUAUAAAGUUACAUGUUAAUUACAAAUUUUAUUGCUAGAUUAUAAACAUGUGAUUAUAUUUAAAGCGAUAUAUAUAUAACCAGGAUCAGGUCCAGGAGUCCGGACCUUGUUAAAAAGCGAACUAUUUUUUUUAAAAAAACAACUAAUUUUUAUUUUUUAAUAUUUUAUGGAACUGAAAUUUUUCCAUAACACAGUGUUUUGUGCGUGAUUUAGACACAUAUAACAAAACAGGUAUGUACAAACUGUUUUGUUAUAUGUUUUUAAAUCACACCCAAAACACUGUAUUAUAAAAAAUUUCAGUUCCAUAAAAUAUUAUACUUUUUUUUAGUUGUUUUAAAAAAAAGCAAAAAAAAAAAGAAGAAAAAAAGUCCAUAUUUUAAUAAAGUCCGAGAAUCCGGACCGAAACCGGAUCCUAUAUAUAUAUAUAUACAGAAUGGAUCAGGUUCGGGAGUCCGGACCUGAUCAAAAACGGACCAAUUUUUUUUUUUUUUUAUUUUGCUUUUUUUUAAAAACAACUAAAAAAAUAUUUAAUAUUUUAUGGAACUGAAAUUUUUCCAUAAUAUAAUGUUUUGGACGUAAUUUAAAUACCUAUACCAAAAAAUGGUGGUACAGUCUGCACAGACUAUAUAUACAUAUUUUGUUAUACGUACCCAAAUCACACCCAAAACACUGUAUUAUGAAAAAAUUUCAAUUCCAUAAUUUUUAUUUUUAUUUUUUAGUUGUUUUAAAAAAANNNNNNNNNNNNNNNNNNNNNNNNNNNNNNNNNNNNNNNNNNNNNNNNNNNNNNNNNNNNNNNNNNNNNNNNNNNNNNNNNNNNNNNNNNNNNNNNNNNNUAUUUCAACCCUCAAAAUUGAAGUUGAAGAAUCCGAGGAUACCAAAUAUAACUAUAUCUUUAUGCAACAAGUACACUUGCUUUAAAGAACACCAAUACACCAUUACAAGUUGAUAGAGAAGAAGGAACAUUUUUGAAAAACUCGAACGCACCAAAGAUGAAAACUUCUGAAACCCUGUUUUUUGUUGUCCAGUUAGGAGGUUAGGGUAGGGUAGGGUACGGUAGGGUAGAACAACAUACAAAAUGAUCUUAACAUGGUUAUCAUACAUACAACACUCUAGAAUUAAUAUACUCAAUAUAGACACCAAAGUCGAAUAACAAGACACGGUAAUGUAAUAGCUACAACACUGGGAAAGAAAACAUUAUCAUCAUCAUCACUCAAAUUUAUAUUUGUGUUCAUACAGUAAGGCUGGUAAUGGCUUAUAUCUGAUGAGGGGUCCAUGAAGCUUGUGCAGCAACAAACACCUCGCAGAACUUCUUAACUGAACCCAGAAAAAAUAAACUUGAUCAAAUCUUUUUAUACAUCUUCAGGAGGUUAGAAAAGCUGUUGAAAAAUCAAAAAACCAAAACCAUGUACAUGCCAGACUUCAAGCAAUCCUAAAGUCUAGGAAGAUGACAUCACAUCAUAAACCAACAAUCCUCUCUCAAAGCCUUAAUAUUCACAAUGAGCUCAUGAAUUUGAUGGAUAAUAAACUUGUUGCAUCCACAUGAGAACAGGAGGAAAGAAAAAUAAGAUCAAUUUCACAUGUUAAAGAAGAUUUGGAUUAGUAUGGAAGCACCACCUCUAAUGUUCUUCCUUUCGUAAGUGCACGAUACCAAUUUGGAUGCUCUAGCCGACUGAGAGAGUCAUGUACAAGGAUUAAAAUACAACAAAAGGAAGAGACAGAAAAAGAUGGAGAGAGACAUAGAGAUUGCGCAGAGGGUGGGAAGCUAAAAUACAGAAACCUACCCAUCCAACAACAGCAUUUCUUCUCUCUUUCAAUGAUAGGCCAUAAUAGGAUCAUAGCCAAGAAUUGUUUCACGUGCACCAAAAACUACAUGAGAAGAUGAUAACCAUGACAAGAAUAAUCGCUUUAAUGCCUAUGAGCAUUUAGCGGGUAAACUAUGUCACCAACUGAGGAAGUCAAAGAGAUAAAAACAAGAAAGUGAACCAUUCUUUCAUGCCUUCGGAUCAAGGAAACAUGCAAUGCAUGCAAGUGCCCAUGGAAAAAGGUUACGGUAAUCAAACCAUGCACAACUAUGAUUACAAUUUUGCCUUAUGAUUUACAAAUGAGGAUCAUUGAGCCCUUUGGCCAUACAACCAAUGGUAAGGAUCAAAUAUACUGGAAGGUUAGGAUCGACAAUUUAGAAUCAUCCUCUAAAAUAUCUUCAAUAUUUACAAGCACAAUUAUCACAUGAGUUUAUCUAGAACACUCUAUUAAAAACCCUAAUAUAAAAGAAGAUUUUAGGGAAUACCAACUAGUGUCGCUAAGCGCCUUUAGGGUGUCUAAUAAGCGAUGAUGACAUGACAUAACCUCCUUAAAAAUGCGCGUCAGCGCAUGUUGUGAAACUACACUUAGAAACAACUCAACUAGUUUUAACUAUAUCUCAACAAGUUUAAAGUAUUCGUUUAAGAAAGCUAUUCCGAGCACACCACUUUCCAAUGAAUAAACGUAUUUCGUAUUAUAACUAAACAGUCCGAAAAAACAUACUCCGUAUACUCCAUUCCGAACCAUGAAAACUUACGUUUUUCGUUCCCGUUCCACUUACCGUAUCAAACCACGAUGCAGUAAACAUUGACUCAUUACCUAGCACAUAUAAACUGGAAAAGUACAUCAGGAUCUAAAUAUAGCUAGAAGUGACAUAAAUAUAGAAAAUGAAGGAAAGAGUAAAUAAAAUUCACAUUACCCCCAAUGCCUUCAGAUUUCAGGGCACGAUUACCUUCAUGACACAGGAAUGGUAUGUGCAUGCAUCAAGCUGCUUCAGGUGCAUGGAAGCAAAGAACAACUUAUAAUUGUACAGGAGAAUAAUAUAAAAUCAAUUAAAAGCAGAAAGCUGCAUAAGAAAGCAGAAAACAAAGAAAUUAAGCUCCAAAAGUCUAUGUUAUGUAACGAACAUAAACUGUCAGUAGCUUGUCAUCAAUAAAGUUGAGACAAAUCUGAGAAAGAACAUAAUGGAAAAAAACACAUGCUGUAUAGCAGCAUUAACUAUCCAAAAGACAAAGAAAAUAGACCUACAAAAUAUUCACCAAAAAUAUCAAGAAGCCUCUGAAAUGAAUACCGACAUAAGACCCUCUGAUCUGAACUAUAAACCAAGCUCUCUGCAAAUUUCAUAACAGUACAACAAUGUUAAAGAUGUGAGUUGCAAACUUCCAACAAGAAGUCAUUGAAAGAGGUAAGAAAUCAGGUUGACAAGUGCUCCAGAAAUUUUGCCUGCCAAAAUAUCGCAACAUUAACAGAGAAAAAUUGUUAAGAAACGUGAUUUUAAAAAAAGACGUAAGAAAAAAAAGACGUAAGAAAAAAGCAGUUAAGAAUCAAUGUUCAUCAUUCUCAUUAUCAAUAAUUUUCCUUUUUAUUUUACAAUGAAAACUUGAGGAAAAGGACAACGCUGAUCCAUCACAAAGAAACACAUACAUCUCAGUAACACUUGCAACCAAUCAGAAUUAUACGCUCAGCACUACACAAUAAGGUCUUUAAAAAAAUUCAUACAAUGAAAAUACCACUAUAAUCUAGGUAUAAAAUAUAGUGGGGGUAAGAUAAAUUAAUGAGUUACCAGAAUGGGUUAACACAGUAACUAUGUAAUGAACUGUAUUUUAGUAUGAACGUUCAAAACAUUAUACACUUUCAUUCUGGCACACUAAGCUAGCUGAUCCGGAACAAAAUUUUCUAUCUACUUUAGUUUUCAUGUUAAUAGUGUGAACCAUAAAAGACAAAUGAAAAAACAAAAUAAAUAAAUCUUCCAAGUAAAGAUUGCAAUGAGAACAAUAACAUCUCUCUUAAUUAAGUUCAUAUAUGAUCCUACAGUUUUGAACUUUUUAUAAGCUACUACUAAGCUAGUUUCUAAUAUAAGAAAUUCCGGUUAAUGAAGAACUUUAAUUGAUUAACCAUAUACCUUCUACAAGAAGACCAUGUCACGUUUAGAAGAUUUAACGUAUGAAAAGGUACCUGUUAAAAUCUUGGAUAAGAAGGAACAUAUUCUACGCUCAAAGGUUAUGCCUAAAGUCAAAGUUUUAUGAAGAAACUACGAUAUUGAGGAAAUGACCUAGGAGUUAGAAUCUAACAUGAAAACAAGUUAUCCUCACCUCUUCGACAUACCAGAUACGUACACCAAUUUUGAGGAUGAAAUUUCAUAAGAAUGGUAGGUUGUAAGACCCCAACUUUUAUGAAUAAAAAUUUAAUUUUCUCUAAAUGUUAUUUUGAAUAAUAAGGUGUGGAUUUGAUAUAAUGUUAUAGUUGUGGGUAAUAUUUACAAAUUUUGCAAAGUAAGCAAGUUGUCAUAAAAUAUUCGUUUGGUCGGGGAAUAUUCGUUUUUAUCAGAGAAUAUCUGUGCGACAACACAAUCAUUGGUGGACCCCAUAACAGAAUUACUGUCGGAUAUAGAAAGCGACAGAAAUAACCUUUCUAUAAAAAUAACGGCAAAACUUUUACCGUUAACUGUUGAAAUACCAUAACACCAGAAUACUUGGCUCACUACAAUUAAAGGAUUAAAAAAAAAGGGGGAUUGGACGGACAUAAGAUGUUAAGCAAAACAAGUGUAUUUCUUUUAAAGAACAAUUAUGUCAUACAGAAAAUUGCAUGGAUAUCAUAACAGACAAAUAAUAUAAGAUGUCGUGCCGAAUCUAUAUUUAUCACAACUGAUCUAACCAGUUUAUAAUUAGCUUACAAAUACAGAAGCAAUAGGAUUAACCUCAUAAGACCACCUAGGUACGCGUACAUAAUCAGUCAUAAAGAAAAAAUUUGAAAAAUAUUUCAGUAACUCCUAAUUUUGAAUAUUUUAGCACAAUGUUUUGCUAGAUGUAAAGACAACUUUUUCUCGGUAGUUCUUGACAAUUACAAUUGCCCUAAAAUUGACGAAGUCAAACUGUUUUGUUUAUAAAGCUUCCAACAUAUUUGUCAGUUGAUGCAAAUCAAUGGAACUGCUAUCUGUUCACAAGGGAAAAAACAUAGCAUUUAUACCAAAAAACACAACAAACAACACAUGGAAAAUGAACUGUUAUAUGUUCACAAGGGAAAAAAAACAUAGCAUAUACACCAAAAACACAACAAACAACAUAUGGAUAAUGAUAAAAUUUGAUGCACUUACCUUCCGCCAAAAGGCAAUAAAGGACCCACAUCAUUUCAUCUCCGCCGUGAACUUCUCAUAUUUGGUCUCUGCACCAUAGUUUGUCUUCUCUGCAGAUGACACAGGUGUCGAUCCUGUUGGAUUUGAUGCCCACGGCACAUUUCCUGUGCUCUGUGAAGUGUCCACUGUCGAGUGAGGCACAGUUGUACGAGGAGGAUGAGGAGCUGCACUGUAAUAAGGUGGGUAAACAAACGAUGGUGUCAAAUAUGCUGGUUGAGUAUUUGGGGGAACAGCAGUGACGGAACUGCCAUAGACACAAGUAGGAACAGGCUGGACAUCUGUACCAAUUUGAGAUUGAACUCCAGGUUGGUAACUUUGUUGUGUUUCAGCAGAAGACACACAAGGGAUUUCACCAGAAGUCACAGUCGUUGUGAUACCAUUGGAAACUGUAUGCACUGAUGGAGGAUAUUGAACUCCAUAAGGGGCCAUAGGUUGAACAGGCAGAGUUGCAUACAUGGUUGAACCAGGAAGUAGAGGAGGGUGAGGAGGGUGAGGAGGGUGAGGAGCAUACGGAGCAGGUGCAGGUGAUCCCCAUGGAACUGGAGCGCCAAGAUAGCUUCCAGGAGGUGCAAUCCUGACAGGAGCACCAGGGGUGAACUGUUGGGUUGGAUAGGCACUGAUAGGCUGGUUCGCAGCAGAAUAUGUAGGCAUUGUUAGAGAAGGAGGGCCUGAUGGCACAGCAGGCUGAGGGGGCUUACCAGCAACUCUAACAGCUAUUGAUCUCCCAUCCAAACGAUGACCGUUCAUGCUAGCAAUAGCGCUAUUAGCCUGCUGAACAUCAGAGUAUUUCACAAAACCAUAACCUUUGCUCAAGCCAGUGACACGGUCCUUAAUAACCUUAGUCAUAACAAUCACACCGAAAGGUGAAAACAAGCGGAUCAAAUCAUCAUCCUCAAGAUUAGGCGGCAAGUUGCCAAUAUAGAGAUUUGUUUCAUCAUAAUCCUUCGUUUGCUUGAUUCCAACUGCCCCUAACCCAGCUUGUGAGGUCCCUGCAGCAACCCCAGCAUUGUUAUCAUUGGCCCAAGGAGGAUUGCUCCCUGAACUUCCCGGACCAAGAGCCAAUGUUGCCCCGUUUUGCUUGGUUAACUACUCAGGAACUGUCCCUCCCAACUCUGCCAAGAAAUUUUGGUAUUCGUCAUCCAUUUUCUUGCCAGUAGAUCCCUUCACUGGACAAUCGAUAGUGGGGUGCCCUCCAUCACCACAAAUUCUACACAGAACAUCACUUUUAAAAGUUGAAGUUCGAGAAGGGCAAGCAUACUGUCUAUGUCCAGGUUCACCACAUAGCCUACAAUACUCCUCAUCUCUUAUCGUUCCAUUAAGAGCAGCAAGUUCCUUAAGUUGUUGCCUCUUAUGCUCAUUAAGCACUUCAUCUACAGGUUGUAACAGCUUCUCCACCAUUCCAGCAGCAGCAUCAAGUGCUUCCUGUGUCUCAGCUUCCACUAGAACAUGCAAAUCUUCAUUCUCCGAAGGAUCAGGUUUCAAGUCCCGCUUCUGCUGCAGCCUGCCUUCUUUUACAGACCCCUUACCCCGAAUCACAAUUUUGGCUCCAGUUUCCUUUUCCAUCCUUUUCUGCGUAUUGCCCCUUGGUCCAAUAAUAAGUCCAAUAAAAUUAUAGCCUGGAUAUUCUUUCAUGGGUAUGUAAAGCUUCUUAUGAAGCUUCGGAGGACGGUAAUCAGCUGGGGUCUUAAAUGCAGGAUUCUUCUUUAUAAUCUGCGAAAUAAUUUCUUGUCUCUCUUUAUUCAAUCCUUCACGUGCACGAUAUUCUCUAGUGUUAAUUCGAAUUCCCAAGUUAUCAUAAACAGGUUCAGGCGAAGGUGAUCUAGCACCUUCAGGCCUAUCAUCUAAAGGCAAUCCAGAUUGUAAUUUUCUACUAAUUUCAAGAAGCCUGCUAUUGAGUGCUUGAAUUUCGGGAUCAAAUUCAAUACCUGCAGUAAAAUCUUUCAUGAAAUCAGGUAACUGAAUCACAGGCCUCGUGUCAUCCGCCCACCGCGACUUGCUCUUCCUCGUCCCAGUGCCGUCGCUACCAGCUCCAUCGAUAUUGGAUUCGCUCAGAGGCGGGUCCCAGCGGGUCCUACGCCGCCGCCUACUUGUUGUUUCCUCUUCUCCACCGGAAUAAUCCUUGUCAGUGCCACUGUGCGUAUUUGUGAGACCAUUUUCCGACAACAAUGGCUUAGGAAUCGCCGGUUUAAAUGAAUUGAUUGAAAUAUCGACUUGAGUAACGUUUUCCUUACUCAAAUCCUCUUUAUUCUGGUCGUUAAAGACUGAGUUCUGAUUAUAUGAAUCCAGAUUUGUUUGUGGUUGGCUCUGGUUAUUUAAAUCUGGGGCUUGGGGCGGAUUUCGAACGUAAGAAGGUAGAGCUUCCGAUGAUUAUGAUAAUAUGAUCCAGAAGAUUGUGGAGGACAUUGAUUAUCAGAGGAAAAUAGAGUUUUGGAUGAGUUGUUUUCUGAGGAAGAAAAGAGUUGAGAUUGAGAAUUACAUACGCUUGAUGAUUUAAGGGUUGAUUCCAUAAGUCGAAUCUUCAAUUCAGAGCUUCAGAGCUUGAGAAGGUGUUGGUACAAUUGCAGAGGCUUCUGGAAUCUGGAGAGAGAAUUUGGAAGUCGGUAUUUAUCAGCCCAACAAAAACUGCUGGCCGUAUAUGGAUUUAUAUUGGAUUUGGAUCUUCUUGAUUUUAAUAUAUAUCGGUGAAGCAAUCAAUCAUUUUCUGUGUUGGGCUCUGUGAGGUUUGGGCUUGGGCUUGGGCUUGGACUCAGCCUCUAACCAUAAUGUCAUUUAAUAUUGGAGCCUUCUCAUUUUAAUUCUACAGAAUUUAUGGGUGAGGUGAUAAUUAUGUCAAUUAAUUGAUUCAAUAUUACAAUCAUAUAUAAAUUAUUUAUAUGAUAUAUAUAAACUAAUAUAUAAAUUAUCAGUAGAAGCUCGCUGGAUCCGGAAUGGGGAAUAUAUAUAUAGUUUGGCCUGAAAAAAAAAUUCAAACUCACAAGUCAUUCCAUCCCAUCAAACGCGAUAUAUACAUUAUAUAUAUAUAUAAUUACUUUGACAAAAUUUAAAAGGGGAAUUUAUAAUUUGAUAUGGCUUCUCUGGGAAGUCUAGAUUUUCAAAUUUCCAAAAUCAAGGGUUAAAACUAAAUUAUUAUUAAUUCAGUUGAGUAAUUAUAAUGUUUUUUUUUGUACAUCCACAAAAGAAUAAUUUGGGUGAUAAAAAAUUAUGUAUAAAGUACACAAGUCAAUUAGAAUUUUUUUUGCAUCGACUAAUUAAUUUAUUAUCGGUCAUAUUACUACAGUCUUAGUCAAAUAGCUAGUAAAACAAUGGCAUCACAAAUGAAUUCAGUCUCUCGAUCCAUCUUCAACACAAACUCAAGAGCCAAUUAAACAUUGUUAGCUGUUGAGCGCAUGCAUGCAUGCAGUAAAUUUAAAACUAACUCCUUCUCUUGCAUGCCAACAUUCAUUAUAAGUUUACAUACAUAUUCAGUACUCUCACAUACAAACAUACACACACAAAUACAUGAUAUUCUUCUUAAUAUAUUACCUCCACCUCCAUUAUAUUCUAGCUAGGAAUUAAGAAUUACCAUUUUCUUAAUUAAAUACAACUUUUUUUCUUCGGGGCGGGCGUGACUAGAUCAGUAUUUGAGAUACUAUACUAAUUAACAUACCACCAGGCACACAAAUAAAUUUAUUAUACAAUUCAUUAUGCCUCUCAAACUUGCAAGUCAUGACAAGAUAGCUGGCUAGGUUUAGGUUUAGGUUGUCAAGACAUGCAGCUGGGGCUCAAAGGUAAUUAACUAAGGAUCGAUAAGUUGCGCCAGGUUUCCACCCCACCGGAAUCACAUUUUUUGCCACUAGGGUUUGUUCUGAAUAUUGGGAAGUUAACCGGAUUGACAAUGGAGGUUUUAAUUCCCCGCCGGCGUCAAGCUUCCAAACAGCACCCCAAGAUUGUUGCAUUCCUCUCCAUACAUCACUUAGACGGUGAGGGCUAGUACUACUCUUUGAUGUUGUUUCCUUUAAACCAACCCCAGCAAGAUCUCCAUCUCCUUCUUCAAACUCAACCACAAAGGCAAUGUAAUUAGGGUUUGAUCCCUGGUCAACGUGGAACGCUAUGGUUUUCCCAGCAUAAUCGCAAGCAACACUACAAAAUAAAAUUAACUUUAAGUGAGUUUUUUUUAAAUUAAAUUAUGACUAAUAAUCUUCUACAAUUAAUUAUAUAUAUACAGUUUAGAAGGAUUAUUUUAAAAUAUAUUAAUUAAUUAAUUACCGUGCGAAUCGUAUUUGCAAAAUUCCGGCAUCGCGUAGGUGCUUCUCUUGACCGGGAAUGGCCAUGGCACCAAAUGCUGUCCCACUUAAAUCAAAAUGAGCUCUGUCGGAUGCACACACACCUCCGGGGCAAAAGUCAGUUAUAACAACCCUGGCUGGCUUGCCGGAACACGAAGGAUGUUUGGUACAUUUCACCUAAUUACCAUUUAAUAAAAUACAAAUAUUUCACUACUUUAUUAAGCACUAAUUAAUAUAUAAAGCUAGCUUUUCAGUAUUUAUAUUAUUAGGGAUUACUUUUUAUAUAUUANNNNNNNNNNNNNNNNNNNNNNNNNNNNNNNNNNNNNNNNNNNNNNNNNNNNNNNNNNNNNNNNNNNNNNNNNNNNNNNNNNNNNNNNNNNNNNNNNNNNNNNNNNNNNNNNNNNNNNNNNAAGAUAUAUAUAUAUAUAUAUAUAUAUAUAUAUAUAUAUAUAUAUAUAUAUAUAUGAUCUGGGUGUGGACCAUUUUUGGCCAAUCUAUUUAUCUCUAUCUGUCCAAAGCGGGAGCUGAUUUAUUCCACGGCCAGGAAGAUAGAAUUAAUUUAUAUCUUUUCUUGGUUAAGAUUUCUCCCGAUAACACAGAGAUGGAUUGAGACUCUGAUACUGUCAUAGUUAUAAUGGCUAUGAUCAUGAAUCAGAUUUUUUAUAUAAUAGUAUCACUCACAUGCACAUACUGCAUGUGAAGAAUUAAUUAUUACAUACCAUCGCUUCCAGCGCCAUCAGGGCUGCCAUACCAAGUUGCACCAGCAGAUGACCAAUGGGUUGUUGCAGUUGACAAGUUGAAAUGUUUGGGUCUGAAGCCAAAACACAACUUAGAAUUAAAGCUAAAUAAAGCUACCAAACAUGGUGUGUACAUGAAGAAGAAAUGUGGGAAAAAAGAUGGGAGAAGCUGUGACUUAUUAUUUGUAGCCAUUAAUAUAUAAUUAUGUUAGUGUUUUGCGAUUCCUAAUGAACUGCAUGCACUCUGCUUUGAUUGGAUAUGUCAUGCGGUAUCGCAAGUAUUUAUAGAGGAAAAGCAUGUGCCUUGUUGCUAUCAACUACACUUUCACCUUAAUUCGUAUAAUAUUAAUAGUAUAAUAUAAGAGAAAAACUACAAGCUAGCAUGUUCACCUUUUAUUAUUUUUUUGGUAGGUCGUCACUGAGGAUUAAUUGGCUCUUACACUAGGUUAACUAGUGAUGCAUUAAAAUGGCAAUGUUGAAGUCUCGAAGAGAAAGGUGAUAAUUAACCUAAAUAAUUAAGAUUAUCACUUUUUGACAGUUACAAUCUUAAAUACAGGACUAUACGAUUCAAUUUAAGUCGUCAAUUAAAAUAUAAACAACAUACAUAAAUUUUGUUAUUUAUAAUUAUCAUAAUGUCGUGUGUAGUACGAGAGCGCACACACCAAGUAUUCACUAUAAUAAUUUGUCACACUAUUUUAUAAUAUGGUGAGAACUACUACAACUAGUUACUAGCUAGCUCGGACCAUCGUUCUAUUCUCAUAUUCUCCCCAACCCCGCUAGCUACACUCUCAUUUCUUGAAAUGAAUUGUGAAAUAAAAGGGUGAACUCAAUAUAUAAUCUAGUAAUAAUAUAAGUUAUCAUUAGCCUUCAAUAAUGAUAAAAAUUAAAGAUUAAUUAGACAAUGAUAAACAACAUAAGUUUUCAACAAACAACUGCAGUGGAUUGAACAAUCCAUUAGAGGAGUCAAAUAGAUCAUAAUGUCUACUAUCUUCUCCAAUUUAAAAAUUCACCAUCAAGAUUUUAUAUAUCAAUUGUAAUACCAAUGGUUAUGAUCAUGCCAAAAAGAACUUUCACCACGUAUCAUUAAUUGGCACACAGGCUAAAGACAAUCAACAAUCAUAUUGUCUUUGCAUUCAAGCCAAAGACAUUCAACUGUAACACCAACGAUCAUGAUCAUGUCAAUCAACAAUUCAUUUUUGCACUCGGGUCAAAUAGAAUUUUCACCAUGUGUUCUUGCUACACAGGCUAAGGACAAUCAACAAUCAUAUUGUCUUUACACCCCAAAGACAUUCAUAACAACUUAAGUACUGAUGAUUAGUACAAAUAAUAAUGAUAUAAAAGAUUAAUAAAAAUAAUUAGAUAAAGGAUAAAUAUUAUAGAUUUGCAAUUUAAAUUGUCUAGAGUCCAAUCAUGUAAAACUUGUCAACACGAUAUCCAGAAAAUCGAUUCGAAUUCAAUAAUAAUAUUUAAGAUUCACAGUUAAAAUUCAACAGAAAAGUUAAUGUCAAAAGAUAUAAGAUGAAACACCAACUAUUAAGAAAAUUCUAAUCAAAUUUUUACUGUUUAAUAUUACUAGUUAUAAAAAGGAACAAUACUUUGUUACCAAAGUUAGGGUCUUACAUCGACAUGAAGCUUUUAUUCGUGAUAUACAGAAUGACAUGGUCAUAUUUUUCAUAAUAAUUAAUUAGGGACAACAAUUUUUCAACAAAAAGACAGAAAAAAGAUUAGAUUUUUUUUAAUAAGAAAAGGUGUUUAAAAUAUGGUUAUACUGAUAGACGUAAUGGAAAAAGAUACCGUGACUAAAAAUUAUUAUGCUCAAUUUCAUUGUUAUUGAACGUGUGAAUGCAAUUUUGAUGGUAUUUUCUUCUCCUAACAUUUCCUUUUUCGUUAUGCAGAGUCUCAAAGUCACUUGCCUACUGCUCCCUCCCUCCAUCCCUCCAUCCAUCCAUCCCAUUUGCAACUUUAAUCUUUUUUACUCAAACUUUUGCAAAAUUUUAGAAUUCCAAAUAAUUUUUAAUUUAUUUGAUUUUUAUGGAUGCAAUAAUAUUUGAAUUUACUAAGAAAUUAUUAUUAAUGAACUAUUUUAUGUGGAUAUAAAUAUUUUACAAUUUCAUAUAUUUAUAUUGGGACAAAUAAAUAAAAUCGUAAAGUACGCAUAUAGUUUUUCAUUAUUAAGUAGCAUUAAUUAGAGUGAAACAAAACAUUGUCGGUAGAGGUGGGUCAUAAAAAAAUCUAUCAAUAUAUAUAAAAUAAUAGUAAAAUUUUCCAAUGAUUCUGCCGUUGAUGGUGGUUAUUGGUCUGGUCGUUGUAUUUCUCAAUAAUUACUAAUUGGUUUGGGUGGACGUCAGAGGUAAUAAAUAAAUAAAUUGCCCCAAUCCAACUCAACCCAACCAUAUAAGUAUAUAUUAUCUUUGAAUUUAGUAGUAUAAUAACAAUCUUUUGAGAUUGAAAUCUUACCUACCGAAUCUUUCACUUUCUCUCCUUUCCUUAUCAACGGAGUUGUAUUUUAAUUUAAUUUCUUCCAUUCGCUCACAAUUAAUUCUUUAUUUGUUUAAUAUAUAUAUAUAUAUAUAUAUAUAUAUAUUGUUUACUGAAUAUUUUGCAUAAUUAAUCUUAUUUUACAAGAAUCUGUCCGCCCAAAACUAUAAGUGUAUGAACAUAAUUCAAGAGAUAAAAUAGGACACUCAUUUUCAGACAACGCUAGAUUUUAUUCUUUUCAAUUGUAAUAUAUAUUAAUGAGUAAAAUUUAUUAUCAGAUUUUUUAUUUUGAAGAAUUAUUAUGUCCAAGUGCGUGCCAAGCUCGUCUAGGGGAAAAAAAUCAAUAAAAGAAGUAUGACUAAUUCAAUGCAGGGAUUUGACUAAACUAGCAUAUUAUUAUUCUCCUGACUGACCUGUGCAAUAAUUAAAAAUUAGUAAAAUUUAGUUAUGGGCCUCCUCCGGUUUGAACUUUUCUUUUAAUUUGUUAGGGCUUGGUUACCUGCCUGAGUCCAAUCCAAUCAAAAUUCUAGUCUUACUCCAUAUACCUUUUUAAUGGAGUUUGCGUAAACGCAGAAGAUGUGAUGAGGUUAGUAGGGAAAUAAAUUCUCUCUCACGCUUGAGUUUAAUAUAUGAAUCCAGGCUUGGUAUUUAAUUAUACAUAAAUUCUCUCUCACGCUUGAGUUUUCUCAAGGAAGGAAGAUAUCACCGCCGCAUUGGCUUUCAAUUGAACUGCAAAAGCGGUAUGAAAUUGCGUUGAUGAUCAGCGUUUUCAUUGCCAAACGCAACUACGAAAUUUGUUGCAGCUGCCAACGCCGGUUCCUGCGUUUGGGCUACGAUGAAAACCGCGUUGGCAGUGGUGAAGCUAGGAUAGAAAUGUGAGGUCAAUUAACCCCACUCAAUUUUUGAAAUCACUUAAAAAAAAAAUUCUUAACCCACUCACUUUUUUACCCUUUCUCAAUCCUCCCUCCUAAAUCUCAUACAUCUGUUCAGCGCUUCACAUAUAAAAUACAAAAUAGAGAGACAAGAGAAGGGGCAAAGUCAAAUUGUAAAAGGUAAAAAUCAAAUCCUGAAUCCUUAAUUGAAUUGAAGGGUCGGUGCGAUCUUUAGAAAAGGAAAUAUAUGGGUUAAAGAAUAUAUAAUUGAGUUCAAGCAGGUAGUAUGAAGACUGGAGUGUGACUCUAUUCUACUGUGGCUUGCCCUUGCAGGUAACAGAAAUUAUUCUGUCUUCAAUUUCUCCAACCUUAGUUUUGUUUUCAGAAAUUAAUUGUGAUUUUUUGAAUAUUUAGAUGCAUUUAUCUAACCCGAAAGUAUAAAAUAUUAAAAAAAAUACAAAAAACGCGCUAUAAUUCGACCAGCCGAACAUGCGCACGAACAGAAGAAAAACCUAAAUUGUAUCACCUUUUUCUUCGUGGCAUUAUUGAGUUCCAUAAGUAAUUAAGGAGUGCGAAGUUUUCAAAUUUGGACCAGACCAACUCGAGCUGGAAUUAGGACCAUAAUAAUAAUAAUUGAGCUCUCAUAAUUGGACAGCUUUACAAUUUCACGUAUUUUGACUCGUCCGCAUAGAGUUUUUCAUAGUAAUUUGAUCCAAUCAUCAUCAUCUGUCUCCUGCCACUUCACGUGACAUUCACAUUCCUUCAGUCUAGAAGGACCAGAAAGACGGAGCAAGAGAUGGUGAGGCCAGACAAAACCGUGAGGCUCCAUGCUAGACCAGUUUCUGCAUAUUCGUUGACCAUAGUUCGCACCCACUAUCAUUUAUAGAGCAAGAGAUCAUUUUAUUAUUAUAAUUAUUUUGAUUAGAUUGUUUGGAGUUGCAUCCCAACUGCUUGAUAAAAUGUUGGAACGAAUUAUUUUGGCCUCUUACUGCGUCAGAAGAAGCAAUGAUUAAUGCAUAGUGUGUGGUUGGUUUGCAGUCAGUUCCACUCUAUCUCUCAGAAAUGACACCCCCUAGAUACAGAGGAGCAAUAAACAAUGGAUUCCAGCUUAGUGUUGGAACUGGGGUUAUAACAACUAACCUUAUAAGUCUUGGAACUCAAAGGAUUGAUGCCGGUUGAGGAUGGCAAAUAUUCUAGUCAUGGCUGCAGUCCCAUCAAUUCUAACUCUAGGUGCCAUUCCAACGGCUUAAUUCAGCGUGGCGCUGAUCAUGAAAAGACUAAGCCAAUGCUGCAAAAAGUACGAGGCACUGACAAUGUCCAAGAAGAACUGGAUGAUCUCACUGAAGCAAGUGACAUUUCUAAAACCACCAAACACCCAUUCAAGAAAAUCAUACAGAGGAAAUAUAGGCCUCAACUAGUCAUGGCAAUAACGAUUCCCUUUUUCAACAGGUCUCAGGAAGCAAUGUAAUUGAGCUUCUAUGCCCCAAUUCUCUUUCGAACAUUUGGUUUAGGCGAAAGGGCAUCACUCAUGUCCGCUAUAGUGACGGGGUCUGUGGGAAUUGCUACCAUACCAAUGUUGGCAGUGGAUAAACUGGGGCGGCGGUUUCUGUUUAUUUCUGGUGGGUUUAUAAUGUUCGUCUCACAAAUAAUGGUUGGAGGCGUGAUGGCCGCUAAGCUAGGGGAUCAAGAGGGUUUGAGCAAAGGGUAUUCGGUUGUAGUUCUGAUCUUGAUCUGCAUUUAUGUUUCUGGGUUUAAUUGGUCAUGGGGUCCACUGGGAUGGUUAGUUCCAACCGAAAUAUUUUUGUUAGAGAUACGUUCAGCCGAGCAGGGUAUUACAUUGAGAUUUUUCUUCACUUUCAUUGUUGCUCAAAAGUCAUGCUCUGCCGGCUGUGAUUUUCUUCUUUUUUGGAGUGUGUGGUUGUGAUGACUGGAUUUGUGUACUUUUUAUUGCCAGAAACAAAAAAUGUGCCGAUUGAACAAAUGGAUAGGGUCUGGAAGGGGCACUGGUUUUAAAAGAAAAUUGUGGGAGGAGACAAUGAAGUGAGUAUGAUGGAUUGAGCACAAGAUAUUGAGACUGUACAUAAAAUUUUUACUAUCUACGUGCUAUUUAGUUUAUGAAUGAUUUCUGUUACCUGUACAAUCCAGAAAUACUCAAAAAUUCCCCUUUUUAGAUUAUAAAAUAAUUGAUGUGAAUAUAUAUUGAUUGCAGUUGUUUAUUUAUGUAAAAAAAAAACAUUUAAGUCAACUGUACAGGUAGAUGGGGGUGUUACAGGAAAAGGAAAUAAAGCCAUUUCUGUACAUUUCUUUAAAUUUAUAUUUGAACAAUUUCUCUCUUUGUUAAGGCAAACUCGUACCAUAUAUUUACAUUAAACAAAUUUAUCGUGUAUUCUGUUAAAUUUAUCACAUCCUUCUCAUUGAAGACUGAAUCCCACUGACCUAACCUUGAUCAUUCAACCCCACAGGCCACUUGCUUAUGUACUCCAUAAAGCAAAUUUGGUGGAUGUACCUGUCAAAUUUAAGCUGGACCAUACUGAUGCUGAUCUCUAGCAGUCAAGUUAAUGCUAACAGCUCUCUCUCCCAUAAUCAUCUCAUCUACAAAUAUUUGUCUUUGUAUGUCUAUGGUGUUUGGAGAGAAGCAAUGGCAGUUGGGUUGGGACUAUCAAGUGCAGAUGGACAAUAUAAUGGAAGAAUGACACGGUUUGUUGUGUUAUCUUGCUUGGUUGCUGCCACAGGAGGAAUUAUCUUUGGCUAUGAUCUCGGAAUUUCAGGUUUCCUCCACAAUCCCACUACAUUUCUUCAUCCUACUUUUCUCCUAUAGAAGGAUAACCAAUCUAUUGAUAAAAUAAUAACUCGCUUUGUAAGUAACUACAAAAGGAUCAACGACUGGUCAUAAGUUUUAAAGUUCAUUGAAGGAUGCGUUUCGUUUUUUAAAAUUUCCAUGUGAUUUAUUUUAAAAGAUGGUACAUAUAUUAUAUUAUUUGAGGUUUUGCAGUUACAUGUUUAUUUUCCUAACAGCUAUACAUGAGUAGAACUUAUUCAAAUAUGGUCUUUUCUUUCUUUAUAUGGCUAAGCCUUCUCUCUUUCUUGUGUGUAAUUGUGUAUACGUCUACAAUACUAUAUAAAUUUGAAAUUGUAAUCUGAUGAUACAUAUCAAUGCAACUCUGUUUCUUCAUAAGAAGAAAAAUGCAAGUCCCAGAACAUUCAGAAACCAAGAGAAUCUUGUCUCUGACUGUAAAGACACGAGAAUAUUUAAAAACCAAGACAAAACCUGACCCUUGGUUAUGAUGGUUUAGAACUUAUUUCCAGGCUAAAAUUUAUUGGUGGAGAGGGGUUUUCAGAAGUUGCGAGAAUUAGCCGCCAACGUUGGGGCUUCACUGAUGAUAUGUUUUAAGAUAACAAGCUUUCUUUAAAUAUUCUAUUUAUUUUUGGUUGUACUAUGCUCUUUAUAUGGGGUAUGCCCCUUUAGCUAAUGUUUAAUAAAAAUUUAAUUUCCCCUUGAAAACAAAAGUUGCAACUUAUUAGUUUUAAUUGAUAAAAUCAGAGUGAAAUCAUUCACUGCCCAAGUAUUUUCCUGAAAACAAGAAAUAUAUCAGGUCAGUAAACAAAUAAAAAAGUUUUAAUUACUAAUGAGAUUGCAUGUGAAGGUGGAGUAACAUCUAUGGAACCAUUUCUCAAGAAAUUCUUCCCAGAAGUGUAUAAUAAGAUGAAGGAAGACACCAAGAUUAGCAAUUACUGCAAAUUUGACAGCCAACUAUUGACCUCCUUUACCUCCUCACUCUAUGUAGCUGGCCUCAUUGCUUCCAUCUUAGCUUCACCAAUCACCAAGGCCUUUGGGCGAAAGCCAUCAAUCCUUAUUGGGAGAGCUGUGUUUCUCAGUGGUGCUGCCCUCGGAGGUGCAGCUUAUAAUGUUUACAUGUUAAUAUUUGGUGGCGUUUUGCUUGGAGUUGGAGCCAGGUCGGAUACUCUUUAUUUUUGUAUAGAAUUUGCUCAUUUUUAUGGCAAAUGUCUUGAGUUCAAGUUUUCUUCAUGAGGUGUAUCUUUAGAGAUUUAUUUCAGUAAUUAAUUAGCUCAGUGUACUUAAGAGAACCACCUACACAUGUCUAGGUGGGUUGCUUGGGUUAAGAGAACCAAAUACUCAACCUAACUACAUAGGAAUUUGCGUACCCCAUGAGUCCCAAAAUGAAAUUUUACUUUCAAAAGUAAUAUUCUUAGUCAAUAUGAAAUUUGCAUAAACACUGACAAAGAUCACAGUUUAGUUUAAAUAUGAUAACUUGAUAAGAUUUGGUGCAAUAGUUUUAAAAGUAGACUCAUCUUGAGAUAGAAAUAUAUAACUUUGCCUUAAAAUAUCAAACGGGCUAUAUUUUCAUUCAAUGCGCUAAUACUUUCACUACUAUAUAUGAUAUAUCUUAUUGUUUGCAGUCAGUACCGUUAUAUAUUUCAGAAAUGGCACCACCAAGAUCCAGAGGUGCAAUGACCAUUUGCUUCCACUUUUGUGUUAGUAUUGGUGUUUUAUCAGCUAACCUUUUAAACUAUGGCACCCAAAAGAUUAAAGGUGGUUGGGGAUGGCGAAUCUCCUUAGCCUUGGCUGCUGUUCCGGCUUCAAUUUUAACUCUAGGGGCAAUUUUCCUCUCAGAAACACCCAACAGCUUGAUGCAACAUAACAACAAUCAAGAAAAGGCUAAACGAAUGCUGCAAAAGGUCCGAGGCACUGAUGAUGUGCAAAGAGAAUUUGACGAUAUAGUCAAAGCAAGUGACAUAUCCAAAACCAUCAAAAACCCGUUCAAGAAAAUCAUACAAAGAAGAUAUAGGCCUCAAUUUGUCAUGUCGAUAACGAUUCCUUUCUUUCAACAGGUUACAGGAAUCAAUGUAAUUGCCUUCUACGCUCCACUACUCUUCCGAACAAUUGGUUUAGGGGAAAGUGCAUCACUCAUGUCCGCAAUAGUGACUGGAGUUGUUGGUACUAGUAUGACAUUUAUUACAUUGUUGACGGUAGAUAAUCUUGGUCGAAGAAUUAUGUUUAUAAUUGGUGGAAUUCAAAUGUUUAUUUCACAAAUGUUGGUUGGAGGAAUAUUGGCAGCUAAGUUAGGGGACCAUGGUGGGUUGAACAAAGGGUGUAGUCUUUUGGUUUUAAUCUUGAUUUGCAUUUAUGUUGCUGGUUUUGGGAUGUCAUGGGGUCCAUUGGGAUGGUUGGUUCCAAGUGAAAUUUACCCACUGGAGAUACGAUCAGCCGGACAAAGUAUAACAGUAGCAGUGGGAUUUCUCUUCACUUUCCUCAUUGCUCAAACUUUUCUAGCCAUGCUUUGCCACUUCAAAUCUGGGAUUUUCUUCUUCUUCGGAGGAUGGGUGUCUGUGAUGACUAUGUUUGUUUACAUGUUGCUGCCAGAGACUAAAAAUAUGCCAAUUGAACAGAUGAAUAGAAUAUGGUCAGAGCAUUGGUUUUGGAAGAAAUUUGUUAGUUAAGAGCGUGAGUGGAUUCUCUCUCAAUGCAUUCACCUAAAACCAUCAUAUUCUGAAUUCCUUAAACAAUUAAUGCUUUUGCUUAUUGUUGGGUCCUAUUGGACCACUUUGUAGCUGCACCGAGUCUCUAGCAAAAAUGCCUUCCAUAUUUCAGGUAUUGUAGAGUUGCACCAAAUCAUUGUUCUGGUGUCAGGUGAAGGUUCAUAAUUUAAUCCCAAUAUUCCUUCAAAAUCUACUUCUAGAUUGUCAAUUAAAUUACUUACUUCCUAUCAGUAAUUUUACAUAACUGACUUGAAUAAACAUUUUUAAUUUUUUAUUGACUUUUGUUAAGGUUUGUACUUGGCCAAUUAAACAUUUCAUCUCAUUUAGAUAGUAAUUUUCACUUUUCUUUUAGUAAUUUCUUACUGUUUCUUUACCAUACAAAAAUGAUAUUACACCCCCUCCAUCUCGCUUAAGUUUAAUUUCACAUGAAUUAAGAAUGUCAAAUUGGAUGAAAGCAAAUUUAAUAUUGUCAUCAUUUACCUUUUAAAUAUUUAUAGUUAUCAAAAAAUAUAUAUAUAACAAAAUAAAAUUUAUAUAGUGGGACACACUCAUUGAUAAUUCUUAUGUGGGUGCAUAUAAACUUGUAAUCAAGACAUUCAUGAAACCCUUUAUAUUUAUAAUUAUGAUAUGAGUUUAAGGUGAAAUACCAAAUUAUUAACCCUUUUUUAUUUUUACUUUUUUAGGAAAAACUUUGAUGGAAAUAUCAUUAAUGAACUUGAAGUUAUUAUCUGUCUGUUGCGAGUUACUACUAUAAACAAUCAUAAGGAUUCAUCUAAAUCUUUAUAUAUAUAUAUAUAUAUAUAUAUAUAUAUAUAUAUAUAUAUAGUGUCCAAAAAACUCAGUUUUUAUAGUAACAAAAAUAUGACCAUAGGUUGCAUGUAAAAUAAAUAGUAGAUAUUGACCAAUGACCAUAUAACUUGUCAUAUUUAAUGUACAUGUCAAUUUUAAGCUGGACCAUGCUGCUGCCAAUCUCUAGCAGUCAAGUUGGACUGCUAGCUAGUUUUCUCAACUUUCAUAAUCAUUAUACUAGUUUGCUCUUUCUAUCUCUCUCCCUCUCCUCUGUUUGUGUAGCUAGAUAGUGUUUGUAUCUGAGUUUGGGGGCUGGGAAUUAACGAUGGCAGCCGGGAUGGGAGUAACAAGCGCUGCAGAUGGCCAAUAUUAUAACAGCAGGAUGACACUGUUUGUUUUGUUAUCUUGCAUGGUUGCUGCAACUGGAGGAAUUAUCUUUGGCUAUGACAUUGGAAUCUCAGGUCUAUAAUUUCUCAGCCAGUACAGUUAUUAAUCCUUCAUUUUGUUUUUCGCUAUAUAUAAAAUCGUGGUGUCCAAUCUAUUCAUUGUAUUGAUGAGAAAUGGCCCUUUAACUGACUGCAAGAAGAUACGUUAAAUGGUUUGCAAAUCUUAAAAUUCAUCAAAAUAUUGUUUUUCAUUCAUUGUUUUUGUAUUUUCGCGUUAUUUACUUGUAAGAAUUAUCAGUCCACUUCACUUUGCUUCCUUGUUGCUAUCUGAGAGGAUUUGUUUGGAGAUCAUUUUAAAUCUCAUUCUUGAUGUGCAGGUAUGUGCAUGUCUGUAACUGCAUAUAAAUAUAUAUGUGUGAAGUUGUAUUUAAGGAUACAUUGCAAAGGCAAUUUUAUUAGAGGAAAAAGUCGAACUGAAACUGAUAGAAUCGUAAUGAACUUUUACCGACAGGGAUUUUUUUCCCCAGCUAAAACUCUCUCUCUCGUUCUGUAAGGGAAAAUGAAAAAAAUGAAAACGAGUGGUAUGAUCAGCUCAGUGAGAGUUCAAAUUUAUUGUUAGUACUAAUGGUAAUUGAAUUUGUAGGUGGGGUUACCUCUAUGGAGUCAUUUCUUAAGAAAUUCUUCCCAGAGGUGUACAAUAAGAUGAAGGUGGACACCAAGAUUAGCAACUACUGCAAAUUUGACAGCCAACUGUUGACCUCAUUCACAUCCUCACUCUAUGUUGCUGGUCUCAUUGCUUCGUUCUUUGCUUCACCCAUCACCAAGGCCUUUGGCCGCAAGCCAUCAAUCCUCAUCGGUGGAGCUGCUUUCUUAUGCGGUGCUGCCCUCGGAGGCGCAGCUUAUAAUAUCUACAUGCUAAUAAUAGGUCGAGUUUUGCUUGGAGUUGGAGUCGGCUUUGCUAACCAAAUACCCAUACUAGUCUUUCCUGUCACUUUUUAAACAUACAAAAUUUGAAAGGAAUGAGGAAAACAUAUACUAUUUCCUUUUAUCCACAAACUAGAUUUAUUUACAUGUUGGUUAAUUUUUUAACUAGUCUCUUUCUGUCCACAGUCAGUACCACUAUAUCUCUCAGAAAUGGCACCACCCCAAUCCAGAGGAGCAAUGAACAUUGGCUUCCAAUUUUGUGUUGGCAUUGGUGUUUUAUCAGCUAACCUUAUAAACUAUGGUACCCAAAAAAUUAAAGCUGGUUGGGGUUGGCGAAUCUCCCUGGCCAUGGCUGCAGUUCCGGCUUCAAUUCUGACUCUUGGUGCAAUUUUCCUCCCAGAAACACCUAACAGCUUACUUCAACACAACAAUAACCAGGAAAAGGCUAAACGUAUGCUGCAAAAGGUUCGAGGCACUGAUGAUGUCCAAACAGAGUUUAAUGAUAUAGUCAAAGCAAGUGACAUUUCCAAAACCAUAAAAACCCCAUUCAAGAAAGUAUUACAAAGAAAGUACAGGCCUCAACUUGUCAUGUCAAUCGCCAUUCCAUUCUUUCAACAGGUGACAGGAAUCAAUGUAAUAUCCUUCUACGCACCGGUACUUUUUCGAACAAUCGGUUUAGGUGAAAGUGCGUCACUCAUGUCUGCUGUAGUUGUUGGGGGUGUUGGUACUUGUAUGACAUUUGUUUCAUUGUUGAUAGUAGAUAAACUUGGUCGAAGAGUUAUAUUUAUAAUAGGCGGAAUUCAAAUGUUUAUUUCGCAAAUGCUGGUUGGAGGGAUAAUGGCAGCUGAGUUAGGGGACCAAGGUGGGAUGAGCAAAGGGUAUGGUUUUCUGGUCUUAAUCUUGAUUUGCAUUUAUGUUGCUGGUUUUGGCUUGUCAUGGGGUCCGUUGGGAUGGUUGGUUCCAAGUGAAAUUUUCCCACUGGAGAUCCGAUCAGCCGGACAAAGUAUAACUGUGGCUGUGGGAUUUCUCUUCACUUUCCUUGUUGCUCAAACUUUUCUAACCAUGCUUUGCCACUUGAAGUCUGGGAUUUUUUUCUUUUUCGGAGGAUGGGUGGCUGUGAUGACCUUGUUUGUGUACAUGUUACUGCCGGAGACUAAAAAUUUGCCAAUUGAACAGAUGGAUAGAAUAUGGAGGGAGCAUUGGUUCUGGAAGAAAUUUGUUGUUGAUGAAGAAGAGUCUAAAUCAGGGAUAUAAAUAUUUUACCGAAUGAGUUCAGCGAUAUAUCUUAUACAGCCCAGACUCUGUAAUACCCGGAGCUGAUGUUUUAUGGUAAUAGCGGUAGAUGAUCCAAAUCUCUUGGGAAAAUAUGAUAUUAUAUAUAUAUAUAUAUAUAUAUAUAUAUGGUUUAUGCAUGAUUUCAGUUACUUGUAUAAUCCAUGAAUGGUCAAGUACAAAAUGGGCAAAGGUGCAAAAAUGCUCCUGAUGUUUACACGGAUAUUUCACUUUCACCUUAAACUAAUUAUUUUUUCAAAAGUACCCUUAACGUUACAAAUUUAAGGUCAAUUGUGUCCCUCCCGUUAAAAAAAAUUCAGCUAGACAAACAGACAUGCUAAAAGAUUGACACGUGACAAAAAUAAUUUUUUUUUAUUCUUAUCUCUUUCUUCUCUCUCUCCUUUCUUCUUCCACUGUUCUAAAAUAACAAAACUGAACUUUUUUUUGACGUGCUAAGCGAUCGACCUUUUUUUGAUAUUCUUUUUCUCUUUCUAGAGAGAGAGACUGAGAGAGGGGUGGUUGGAGGGGGAAAGGGCGAGGUAGCUGCACUUCUUGUGAAAAGGUCAUCUUUUGACGCUCCCCCCCUCUAUUCAUCAUCUUUUUCCUUUUCCUUUUUGUAAUUUUCCACUUCCUCACUCUGUUUUCUUCUUCUAAAUAUGAUCUCUCUCGUGUUUCUCUGAAAAGACUUGCUUCUUCAACUUUACUGAUCCUAUCUGAAAUUGGGAAAAGUUUCAACCUUUUCAUAAAUUUAUCAUCUCAUUCCAAAAGGGUACCUUUGUUCUAAGCAUUUAGGUUCUCUAUCGCGUAAAGAAAGAUGAGAGCUUCAUGUAAGAGAUUUCCAUUAAUGGACCUUUCUGUGUCCUUUUUUCUGCAGAUUUCGUUACUCCCAAGUCCCAAUCCCGUUACUCUCAUUCAUCCAAUCAAAUCUUCUUUUAAUAUAGUAGUAUAUUUUUGUUUAUCUCUGCAUAGCAGGUACAAUUAAUCUAAUAUAGUAGUAAAUUAUUUUUGUUAUUUUAGGACAGAGGAAGAAGAAAGGAGAGAGAGAGAGAGAAAAAAGGGAAGAGAAAAGACAAGAAUAAAAAAAAUUUAUUUUUGCCGUAUGUCAAUCGUUUAGCGCGUCUGUUUGUCUAGCUGAAUUUUUUUUAACGGGAAGGAUACAAUUGACCUUAAAUUUGUAACGUUAAGAGUAUUUUUGAAAAAAAAUUAGUUUAAGGUGAAAGUAAGACAUUCGUGUAAACAUUAGGGUAUUUUUGCACUUUUGUCCAGUACAAAAUUGCUAUUAUUAUUUUCAUGGCACUAAUCAUUAUGAUUUCAUUUUCUCUCAUAUUAAAACAACUUAAUUCAUUUAAAGACAAUUUGUUUGUUUGUUUUUUCCUUUUUAGUUUUUAGGAAGAUAAAGUAAUUAAUAUGUUUUGUUUUUAAGUAGCAAAACAUAAACAAAUUUGAUUGACAUAAUUUAUUUUUUUGAGUUUUGGGCUCAAAUAUUUGAAAAAAGAACAUGUUUUUUGGGAUAAAAAAUAUAACCAAAAAUUAGAAAAAAAAACAAAUCCUUAAUCACUAGAGUUUGGCGAGUUGAUUGUAAUUUGGAUGAAUUUUCUUAUGGAUAAUAUUUAAAAUUGAUUUGGUAUAAUUUGAUUUUUCUUUUUCUCCCAACACGAGGGGGGAACAUUUGAAACGCGAAAGGCCCGCAUAACCGUUAUAUUCGUUUCAAAGCUACAGAUGUAGAGUAGAGGAGAGGAGAGGAGGUCUAACCUGACUGCGCGACCACUGACAAGUACCUGCACCCAGUCAGUCAGCUCCCGCAGUCAGUCAAUGCCCUUUAUAAUUUCUCUCUCCUCAGACGAUCAAACUAACAGCUCUCUGUUUCAAAUUUCAACUCUUCGAAACAAAGGUAAACCAUUUCUCUCUUCUGUAUAGCCAAUUUAGGGUUUCCAGACAAUCAAUCUUUUCAAGCUCUUCUGUACUUAUUAGGUUUUGGAUGACCCUUUUGCUUGGUUGCCGAGUAUAUAUACACUAAAGAAUUCAAAAACUUGGAAAUUAAAUCUUUGUUUGAUGUUGAUUCGAUCCUCCAAGAAACGAAUCUAUCAUAAAGUAAAGUAUACACGUUCUUUAGAAGAAAAAAAUUCUUCCUUUUUGCCAUUUUCCGGUUUACAAUAUUGGCCUUUUCGUUUUCAGUUAUUGAUUCAUGGACUUGUUUGAUUAUUACUAUUAUUGCUCUUUGAACACUCAUGUUUGCAUGUUUGGGUGUUCACUUUAUGUUUAUUGCUUUAAAUAGGAAAUAUAAUGAAGGAAUAAAUAACUUUCUGUUGAUUGCUUUAAAUAGGAAACAUAAGGAAUAAAUAGAUAAACUGACUCAUGCUCAUUUUGUUUAGUUAAAAGAUUAUUGAUUUCGAUUACCAAGGAUUGGUUUGGGAUUUGGAAAGAGGAAAGGUAAUGAAAACAUAAUUAAAAAAAAUUGAAGUAAUAGAAUUUCGUUCAUAAUUGAUACAAGCUCAACUAUAUCACUCUUAAAAAAUGUAAGACCAAACAUAAUGAUAGAAAGUUUGUUAGAUUGUUAUUGUAAUUUUUUUCACUCUCUCCUUAGUUUAUGUCUUUCUUUUCUUUAUCCACGCACUUUCCGAGCUCCUAAGAAAGCUAAGUGAAAAGUUACAUUAAUUCAACUUCAAGAGUUAGGCUUUCAACUCUUUACUUCCACCCCAAUAAUUACCAAAUAAGUAGUUAUAGUAAAUAUUGAACUAUUAAUAUAGUAUAUAUAGUCAAUAUUAGUUACAAACAAACAUGAGUCUUCUUAGAAAGUGAAUUUUUUCUUUUCUUUACCCACACACUUACCGAGCUCCAAAGAAACCUAAGUGAAAUAGUUAAGACCAAAUAAAUAGUUAUAGGAAAUGCUGAACUAUUAAUAUUAGUAUCUAUAGUUAAUAUUAGAGUGUCUUUAGUACAUUGGAUGGAAUUUAUUGGAUUAGUGAUAACUAAUCAUCCUUAAUCUGACCUUUACAUAUCCAUUUUGGAACAGGGAAGUUAAUUAAUUUUCGUUGUCAAUAUUGGCUUUUAGUGUCACUUCAAUGCCUUCAGCCAUCUCACCUCAGUGGCAGGAGAAGGCUAGCGAUUUCUUUUCGACUUCAGGUAAAAAUUAACUUAUAGAUUCUCUGUAUUUUGUUAAUAUCCUUAUUUCUUCUUUACCUUUACGGUGAAUAUACUUAAGUUGUUGGUUCAGGUGUGAAGCUUAAAGAAGCUGGGCAAUCCGCCGGAACAUUUGUUGGUGUGGUUGCGAAGGAUGCAAAAGGUAACGUAGCGGAUGUGGCAGAAAAAGUUGGGUCAAUAGUGAAAAGUCGAUGGUCAUUUCUUCAGCAGCCAUCUACGAGACAUGCCAUGCAAGAGCGUCUUAUUUCCGCUGCUGCUACAACUGGCAUGUUGUUUAGGAAGGGUGUUUCAGAAACAAAAGAUAAGGUCACUGUUGGAAAGACGAAGGUUGAAGAGGUAAUUUUAGCAUAGCUUAUUACUAGGCAGUCAUUAAACAUGCAUUCUACUGAUUAAAUAACAAGAGUUGUAGGGUAAAGGUGUCUUUGGGAGUUAUUUUGUCUUGAGUUAAAGAAACAGAUUGCUGAGUGAGUGAGAUCAGGUAAAUUUAUGUACAGUUGUCUUGAUUUUCACAGGAAUGUGUUGGAAAGUAAAUUUUAAGGAGCAGAUAGCCUUUCAUUUUAUUGCUGAAGUUGGUCUAUUACUUGCUACAUGGUCUAACUCUUGUUCUGCCCUCUGACAUAUUUCAUUAGUUCUACAUGGACAUAUUGAGAACGUUCAAGCAAUUAUGUACUGUGGAGCCUUAAUUGUCAUUUAUUGAAAGAGGACAGAGAAAUAGAACAUCAACUUAACAAGAAAAAUGGAAAUACAACAUCAUUGAUCAUCUUUCAAUGUGGAAUCCAAUCAUUUUCUGAGGAGGUUAUACCAGCGUAGACUAGCCAUUGGGUAGGCAAUGGAGGUGGGAAGUCGGAAUUACACUUUAUCUAAUUUACUUCACUUCUUAACUAUAGAUUAAUGGUAACAAGAACAAAGAUUUUAUCGCGAGAUGGUAAUGUAUAGAGUUGCAUUCAUAAAGAUCAUUUACUUUUUUGAGUUGGUACAUAUCAUUCAGGUGGCAAAGAAGACUGCACAAAAGAGUAAGACUCUUUUGACUGAUUUUGAGAGAUGGCAGAAGGUAUGUAUUUGUGUAAAAGAUAAAUUAUUAAAGUAUGUGGUUUGCAAUUUGGAGUUUUCUUAGCUUUCUCAUUUCUUUUGCAGGGAGUUGCAAGCACAGAUGGUAAGCUUCUCCUACUUUGCCCAUCGUUAGCUUAUCAAUUGAUGGUUCCAAAAGUGCAGAAUUUUUUCUUCCUGGAAAUUCAUAGAUUAUAUAAUUAUUAUAGGUGGAGCACAUUUCAGUAUCAUUUCCUUUGUUUUAUUAGCCAGUCAAACCUUUUUUAUAUAAUGAGAAAAUAGGAAUCAUAUUUAUGGAGGGCAUAUUGGUGAAGACUAUUAGGAACAAUUUUUUUGUCUUCCAUUUAUUUUGGGAAAAUUUGCUUCCCACUCAUAGGAUUGGAAAAAUGGUCUGAUAUUAAUUUCGUAAUUUGCAUGGCAUGCAUAGAGGGUUCGGUUUACAUUUUCCUUAGUCAGACGGUGACAGCAAAGAUGUACAUACAUAAGGAAGAACGUCCCUGCUUUUAUUUUUAGUUUUCUGAAUAUGGAGUACUAACUGUUAAGUAUAGAGGAGCAAACUAAAUAAAUCUCCUUCAACAAAGCUCUAGUCACCUAUAAACAAAUGAAUGUAGAAGUCAUCGGAACUUGACAAUAGGAGCCAGAAUAGCAGAGAGAUAAGGUCACUUGCUUAACCCUAAAAAGUGGAUCCUCAAGCUGAUAGACUGCAGUGUAGAUUUCGAAGCUCCUAGUAAAAGCUAUUAAGGCAAUUGAGAAGCUUGAACCAAUUAUUACCAAGUAAUCUAUUAAUCUUUGACGUAUUAAAACUAGUGUUAUUACAACAAUCGUACAUAUAUAGUUCAAAGUAAACUUCUUUGUAAGUUACUCUUAUUUUUCAGGCUCAACCUUCCAAACGUUAUUAUUUGACUUGAUAAUGAUUUUAGGGUAUCAUGUGAAAAGGGUUUUAUGAUUGCCUAUGUGAUCUGGGAGAUCUGAUUGGUUGAUUCUUUGAUCAAUGACUUUGCUAUUUGGGGGCCUCAAACCAUUCUGGUUGUAAAAACUUUAUUAAAUGUUCUGGCGUGAUUAAUAAAGAGUCAAGUCAAGGGUAUCUGUUUUGGUAUGGUUGUGCUUUCUUAUUUUACUUCGUAUCCACAUUAGCACUCUUGCACUGGAACCAUGGAAACCUAUUGUUUGAGAAAGUGUACCAUAUGAUGCUUUUGAUUUUAUUUUUUUCCAGUUAACGUGUAAAAUAUCUUGCCUCUCAUUUUACGUGUUUUCUUCAGUAUUUGGAGUUCCAAUUGAAGUUACUGUUCAGAGGCAACAAUCCACCCGGCCUAUUCCUUAUAUCCUGGUCAAAUGUGCGGAUUAUCUCGUAUUAUCAGGUGAUUUGCAUGACAAUAAACAAGUCAAUAAUGGUCUUUUACAUUUUUACACAAUUUUGACCAUUUUCUUGUUGGUUUAGGACUGAACUCGCAAGAGUUAUUCAAAUCUGAAGGAGACAAAAAGGUUAUUCAGCAGUUAGUUUCAUUAUACAACCAAGGUAUUAUGUGCAAGAUCAUAUGUUGACUUUCAGCAGUUCUAUGUGGCUGCACUUAUUUUCUAAUAUUAGUUACCCUUUACAGAUUCCAAUGCUUCACUACCGGAGGGUAUAAACCCUGUCCAUGUUGCGACUCUGAUCAAGUGUUACCUUGAAAGCCUGCCUGAGCCUUUAACUACAUUUGUACUACAUGAUGAAAUCAGGAGCGCUCGUUCGAGCAUAAAUGUUAUGAGAAACAUAUUGAAGAGGCUACCGACUGUUAACUAUAUGACACUAGAACUGAUUACUGCACUCCUGCUCCGCGUUAGCCGGAAGUCCCUUCUUACCAAGGCAAUCUCUCUCUCUUCUCUCUGUCUCGCUCUCUCUGUCUCCCCCAUUCUCUCUCUGUCACUCUGUUGUUCUCAUGGUACUAAAAUUGUACAGUUAAUCUAUUUUUUAAGAAAAUAAAUUUUAGUUUUAGACGUUGAAUGUUGAUUGUUUCUCCUUAAAAUUGAAAAAUGAUGGUGUCUUGAAAUUAGCUAUAGCUAUUUGAUUAUUCUAUUUAUUAAGAGUAAGGCUUGUGAUUGAACAUUCAAUUUAUAACUUGUUAGGGAAAUUGUAUCGGAUCGGCAUGCUUGAUGAUUGCUACUUCUUACAGAUGGAUGCUCGCAGCCUUGCUACGGAAAUGGCUUCUAUCAUCAUAUGGCAGAAGGGACGGAGGCCAGACUUUUAUAGACAGUUUUGGAAUCAACCAUCGAAAAAUCAAUCCAAGACUAAUGUGGAUCCUGCACGUGAUAAUGGUGAAUUAGAUAUGCUUGCAGGUGAAAAAUCUGAUCUAUACACCUUAAUUGCAUGCAUAUAUAUCUAGUUUAAGUUUGGAAAAGUUUGUUUAUAUUGACUUGGGAGGCACAUAUGCAGUCAUAACUAUUUGCUGGACUUUUUCUUGAAAUAAUUAGCUUCUGAUAUCUACAAAUAAAAAUGUAUGUGGGCAUUAGUAGAUCCUGGCUUGUGAGAUUUCAGGAUGGAUAAAUUGCAUUAAAUGAAGUGAUAUAUUCUUAGCAAUGCUUAAUACAACAGGGAGGCAGUUUAGUUUGAUUGGUAAUUACUUUUGUGUGAUGUUUGGAUUUGAUAGAUACAUUAGCUAGUAACCUGUCUUUCAUAGAUGAUGUGAUUUCGUUGGGUUUCUGAGACAUUUUCCCUUUUCCUCUUCAAGUUUUGAUGUUUAAAACUCUGAAUAUAGUAUUAGAUUUCCUUUUCCAUCUACAAAAAGGAUAAUUUAUCUGCAAUGUUUUUUUUGUUUUGGCAACAAAACGAGAGUUAUUAAUUUGUUAACUCUAAAUGAUUACCAAACUUAAUUAAUUUGUCAAUUUAUCCUAUAUAUUAGAUGGAUAUAUUUGUAUUCGUCACUCUUCUUUGUUGUCGCCAUCAUCAUUAAUUGGUGUGUUUUAAUGUGGUAGAUUCAGUUGAGAUUACUGAUUUAUUUAAUUACUGUUUCGAUAUGUGAUUACAGAAGAAAGGGAAGGAGAAGAUGUAUCCUCCCCCAUCCCCUUGGAUGAUGGGCUGCCAAUUGACUUUGGUGCUAUUGAUGCUGUCCAGUGCUUAAUAGAACAUCACAAUACCAUUUUUACAGAUGCUAAUGAAACUGUCUGGAGAUGAAUUUGACUGACAUAUAUCCCAGUUGUGCAUGGAUCCUUGAGAUUGGACUUGUACUUUGCAAUUUCUCUAGAUGUAAAUUCCCUUGUAUAAAAGUUGGGUUUUGGGGGGAAAUUUAUAUUAUAUUAUUUUAAAAUAAAUAUUUUUUUAUUUAAUAUUUUAUUUGUCGUUAUUCAAUUUGGAGUGUUAGAAAUAAUAUUUAGAAGUCAUUAAUUAUUAGAAUCACUAGAAUCAUUUCACAUAAUCACAUGUAUAGAAUCUACAAUCAAAUUAAUAUGUAUUGUUACAAAAGUAGGAGGUGGUUGUGUGUAUUAAUUUUUGAUAUUCCAACACUCGGACUAAACUGUAACAAAAAGUGUAUACUUAAUCUACUUGUGUAUUAUGUUAGUAGUAUGAAUUAUUUGUGCUUGUAUAUAUCACGUCUCCGUCUCUAAAGGGUAACAAUAAACAAAUUAAUAAUUCAUCUGUCAUAAGCAUAUACUUUUUCUAUUUCAAAUUAUGUAAUUUUUUAAAAGUCAAUUUAAGAUAUUUAAAAGUACAAAAUUAAGAUGACUAUAUAUGAAAUAAUAAAAUUUAUAUAGUAUUUGGAAAAAUCAAACUAUUUUGAUAAGGAGUAAAAGUCGGGCAAUGGCAUUGCAGCAUCUCCACAUGAACGAAGAGUGUUGGAAUAAGAAUGGAAGAUGACACUCCUCCUCCCACAUUCAUGCCAACCAAUUUUUUCAGCUUUUACGCUGCUGCGACUUCUCUGAUCACCACUCAAAUUGUAACGAUAGACUUCCUCUUCGGUUGCAACGAGGAGCAAAUUCCCAUUCAAAAUUGUGAACCCUGAUAUCGUUGCUUCCUUGUUCAACCCCAUGCCUUUCACGCCCGCUUUCAUAAUCCUCUUCCACUUGCCCGAAUCAUCUUCUUCCAUUAAAACCCAUACGCUAAACACCAAUUUCAUCAAUUUCACCACACAAAUUGAUUCCAAACAAGUUGUUGGAUCUUUAAACUUGAAAAUGGCCACCAUGCAACUUUGGUCAUGCACAACUCCCUUUCUCGCCCCCUUUGGUAUUUUCAAGAAUCUUGACACGGAGUUGUUGAUAUUAUAACACACUAUGUAUGGCCAAUAAAAGGGACUAUUUGUGGUUAAGUAAUUGCCACAAUCCGAAAUAAAAUAAACUUUGCCACCGAGAUAAACAGGCAUCUGAUAUUGAAUCUCUCUCGGCCCAACAAUUAUCUCUCCUACCUCUUCCCAUAUCCUUUUGCCAGGCGAAUAAAUUUUACAAUUCGAUUUUGAAGUAUCCCAGUGUUCAGACUCUGGUAAAACGACCAUCAACGUAAAAUAAUUCGAAGCAUGACCAUUGCAUUCAAACACAAUAUUCAAUCCUGUUGUCGGAUUAAAAUCAUUGGCGGGUUUAACCAGUGGCAGCCAUGUUUGUGUAGCUGGAUUGCAUACUAAUAGAGGGUAUUCCCCUUGGUUUAAGUUUCUGCAACAGAGUAACCCGUUGCUGGAAGCAAGAACAGGGCCAAUGUUUCUUAGAAAGUCGAGGGACUCUUGAGGAAUUCCACAUGAAGAUUCAUCAAUAUUAGAUAAAGGGUGUAGUUCUAGGGCGGUUGGGUUAGAAUUAUGGGGAAAUUUUGGCUCAAGAAAGAAACUUUGAUCAUCUUUAGGCUCCAUGUUUUUGCAUUGUGUUUUGGCGAAGAAAUUGUCGGUUGGAAAUUCAUUGCAUUGUUUUGAAAUUGCUGCGAAUUUGAAGAUGGAUUUUGCAGGAAGAUGGGAAAAAAUAUCAAAUAGUACCCCCUCCAUUCUUAUACGACGAAUUUCUUGAUGAUUAAUUUAGGAAAAGGAUUGUUGCCUCUUGUGCUACAAACUCAGAAACAACAAAUAUAUAUAGAGUACGAACCUAAUGCUCGGUUUUUGAAAAUUUGUACCCUUUUACCUAAUGCUCGAGUGUGGCCUCCAAAAGUAACUUUUCUGGUAAAAAUCUUUUAACUGUAUUUUUUCUAAGCUGAUAGAGAAUCCAAAAUUUGUAUUAACUAUCUAUUUUCUUUGGUCCUUACCCUCUCUUAUUAGUCAUCUGAUCCAUAAUAGGCUAGGAAGGAGAUUCCAAUACUUAUCUAGAUAAUAUUAUUUAAUAAUAAUAUAUAAAAUAAAUAUUAAUUAUAAUUAAUUCCACUAAAUAAUUAUAAUUGCACCUCAAUCCAAGAAUUAAUUAAAUUAUUCAUUUACUAAAAAGCUGUAAAUAUUACAUAAAUAUUUCAUAAUCAAUUAAUAUAAUUCAAAUAUAUUUAAACUAAUUUCAUAAGUCCAUAAUUUAUCUCUAUUUGAUCAUAAAUUGAUUUAACAAUUAAAUCAAUUCUUAUAAUAAAAAAUAUUAAAUUGACCAUUCAAUUCUUAUAAUAUGGAGAUAUAUAUAAACAAACUAAAUGACCAUUUAAUGAAUGAUGUAUUUUUAUUAAUAAAUAAAUGUCCAGUAUAAAUAAAUUAACAUUAAAUAAAUAGAAUUUUUGUAGCAAAAAAUUCAACAAUAUAUAUAAUAAAUAUUAAGGUUUAUAUAGGGUUAGGAAGUGAUUUUUUUUCUUCAAUAAUAAUUUAAGUAAUUAAUGUUAAUGUGGGUAAAUAAUAAUUAUUAUUUUUUAUUUGAUGUGUUCAUUAUACGCAAACUUUUGUACUCAUAAGAAAAAAAAAAUUCAAAUAAUACAAUAGGUACUCUAUCUUCUAGUUUUAUUAAUAGAUGGAGAAAUAAGAAAUUAAUAUUUAUUACUUAGCACAAAAUUUGAAAGGAGGAGGAAAAGAAAGAAUUAUGAUUUUAAUUCGAUUAGAAUAUUGAUGUGGCAGAGUAUAAUUAGUGGAUAAUCUAUCGUACGCAAGUGAGUCUAGAUAUAAACAAUUUUUUGUAAAAAAAAUUUAUCAUCAAAAUACUAUAGUUAUUUUUGGUAUGUAUUGUUGGGUAAACUUGAUUAAAAAUAAAAUAUAUAUAUAUCUAAUUUUGAAAUGGGGACGAUAUAUUAUCCAAAUUUCUAUUAAAAAUUCGUUUACAACAUACAAUUCUUUGUAGCUUUUAUAUAUCCAUACACCCUAAAACUAUUUUUUUUUCUUUUUCAAAAGUUAAUAAUUUUAUAAUGAAUUUUAUUUUGUGAGUUACAUGUAUUUCUUGUAAUAUUCAAUGACCAACAAACCGAGUACAAAAAUAAAAAUAUUAUUGUGGAGUUGAAAGCAUAUAAUAAUAUUCACAAAAGUACACUUAUAACCCCUCAACUUUCACUAAAGUACAAAAAAUUUAAACUGAAAAAAAGAAAGAUUCUCAUAUAUGUCAAUUUAUUCCCCAUUAAAAAAAAUUAUUAUAUUAGUCUGCAACCUUUUUUGUUGACCGUGAUUGGGCUAUUACUGAUAAAUGGUCCGACAACUUAAUAGCCCUAAUUAUUUAAAAACACAAAGCCCAGUCUAUCAAAGUAACAUCGGAAACCAAAAAAUUGACCUUUCUCCUCCAUCAUCGUCGACAAACUAAAGAAUUAAUCUGAACGACAAAAGUCAAUAGCUCCUCAAAUGGUGGCAAUCAGUCCUCUCUUCCUCCUAACACUCCUGCCUCUAGUAAUACUCUUAUGCUUUUUCAUGUAUAUAUAUAUAUAUAUAUAUAUAUAUAUAUGUGCCUCUAUAUAUGUAUUUAUGUUUAUUUAUUUGUACAGUCAUCUUGGCUGUUAUGUUGAAAUUGGGUUUUGGGUAUGCUUGUUGGUUCUGUGUUUGUUCAAUCUUCGUAAGGCCCCAUUUGGCAAAUUGUAUGGAUUUAAAAGAAAGAAGUUGAAAAACAGAGAACAACUGUCAUUCUAAAGCUAAAGAAAUAAUUUCAAUUCAUUUAUAAUAUGUAAAACGGAAACCAAAUUAAAUAUAUUUCUCCACCCUAGAUGAAAAUAGGGGAAUGGAGAGAACAAAUUAUGAAUAUAAUUGUAUGACUAUUUUUUUUUUUCACCUUUCAAGAAAACGAAAUUUUUUGGUUAGUUAGCCUAAUUAAGCUCAGUUGUGUUAAUGGUUUAGCUCAUCAAUGUUUUGGUUGUUCUGCCAAAAGCUUGUACAUUAAACCUUUUGUGAUAAUGUUGAGCAGGCCUUGGGACAUGAGGUUGAAAAUUCAAGGCUGUACCCUUUCGUUGUGAGUACCUGGCCAUUCGUGGAAGCUGUUAAAGCAGCAUGGACAGCUGCUAAUAGCGGAUUUUCUGCAGUAGAUGCGGUUGUGGAAGGUUGUGCAGCUUGUGAGGAAUCAAGAUGUGAUGGCACAGGUUGGAUUCUGUAAACACCCAUAAAUAUUAUUUUUUUGGUAUUAUUAAGGCAUGCUAUUCCAUUACAAAUUAUCGGGGAGGGGGAGGGAAGGUGAGAAUUGAACUCCGAUAUCCACUACGGGGGGUUGGAUCCUUGCCAAUGCUACAAGCCUACAAGCCAGAUUCUCACCCAUAAAUAUUUAGUUUAGUGUAAUAAUAUUUUAUCAUGUGAAGUGUAGAGUAUUCUGGAGUAUUUAUGAAUUAUGAUAACAGCUAAUUACUAAGAUUUUAUUUCCUUAUUUUAUUAGGUUACUUAAUAUUCCUUCUGUUUCAAAAUAUAAAUAUAAGAUUAUUAUUGACUUUUGAAGUCAACUUGAGACACUUUCAAACUCAAAAUUGACAUGAAUUCUUUUAAUUUUAGUCAAUACAAUGAUAUAUAUCUAAUUAACAAAACACAACUUAUUUUGAAUUUCCCGCUCAUUUUAAUAAAUGAUCAGAACCGUCCAAAGUUUGGGAUAAAUCUCACCGUUCAUUAUAUCCUCUUUAACUUCAAAGGAUAAAAAAUUGUUCUCUCUCACUAUCAGAUCCUCCUUCGUUCUUCCUCCUCUCGAGCUCGCCCUCUGUCUCCUCCAUUCUCUAGCGCCGACAAUCUCUCCUCCCCUUCGUACAUAGUGCCGGAGGCACGGGUAGUACGACUAGUUGUAAAAUAUCUAAAAAGUAUUACUCAUUUUAUGAUUUAUUGUUUCAUAAUUUUUAAUGAAUUAUCUCAAUUUUAAGUUUAAAAAUAUUCUAAAUUCACUUUAAAUAGUCAAUAAUGAUCUUAUAAUUUGGAACGAAAGCAAUAUUUUACUUGAUCAUUAAGUAUUAAGGUUUUUCUUAUUCCUAUAUAAACAGUUGUAAUCUAUCUUUUAAGAGGUAUCAAAUAGUUGAUAUUAUUGAAUUUUAAAUCUUGUGCUUAUGGCUGUUACCCUAAUUAUCUUCUUUUAAUCCCCUUUAUUCCUUUCUCCAUCCUCCUCCUACAUCAAUAGUGGACACAGGGUCGACUAAUCUGAAUUGGCUAUUUUCUUGUUGGUUAGUUUUUUAGUUUUUAGAAGUGUUGAUAGUUGUAAUUUAUGCUGACAUUUUUAACUUUGGUCUGAUUUUUGUAUGGACAGUUGGGCCUGGUGGUAGUCCAGAUGAAAAUGGUGAAUCUACAAUCGAUGCUUUGGUCAUGAAUGGGGUAACAAGGGUUUCAUAUUUUUUUAGACAUAAUGUUACCCUUUGUUAUUCUUGCAAGCAUUUAAAUUUAUAAUCUAUCUUGGGUCUGCUAAGACUUGCCCAGGUGACAAUGGAGGUUGGAGCUGUUGCAGCCAUGAGGUUUGUCGGAGAUGGCAUCAGAGCUGCCAGAUUAGUGAUGCAGCAUACUGAACACACUAUGCUUGUUGGAGAUCAAGCCUCAGCCUUCGCCAUUUCAAUGGGUCUUCCAGGACCCUCAAAUCUUAGUUCACCUGAGUCCUUGGAUAAAUGGAUUAAAUGGAAAGAGAAUCGCUGCCAACCAAAUUUUAGGAAAAAUGUUCUACCCAGUAAUAAUUGUGGUCCUUAUCAUCGAAAGGAUCAUGUGGACUUUGGUGAGAAUGUAUGUUUGAUAAACAAUCUGGUAGAAAAUUGCAGAUCAAUAUCAUCUCAUGUUGGUCUGCACAACCAUGACACGAUAUCCAUGGCUGUUGUUGAUAGAGUACGCACUAAUCUCUGCAACUUUAUUUUAAAAUAGUUAUUUCCCUUAAAACAUAAUUCUUUCCUUGAUCAAAAUUUUUCAUUGUUUAGAUGGGACACAUUGCUGUUGGAACAUCAACAAAUGGGGCCAGUUUUAAAAUUCCUGGAAGGUAUGGUAGAAUCAUAUGAGGCUCUGUAAUGCAGUGAUGAGGCUAAAACUAAAAUAUAUUGCUCAUCUUGUUCUUUCCGCUGGUAGCCCUUGUACAGCAUAAGAUAAUACAAAUUGCUAUCAAAAAACUGAGAUAUAACUUUUCUAAGUUUUGCUGUAAACUUGUAAUCUUUCUUGAAGAAAUAAUUAAAUAAUUAUAUACAAAAAUAGAAGAAUAAAAAUGGACUGGUAAGGCUGUUUGACACUUUAGCAUGCGUGAUAUACUAUUGACAUAUAGAGUUCUAGGAUGGAAUUUCUGUAUGAAGAGUCGGGUUAUUUUCAUGAAUCAGAAUAAAGGUUGUAGGAUUUAGAUGCAUAGGAGAUAGUAAAGGCAGGGUUUUUAAGUGUUGGGUUUUAGGAAAAAAUAAGGAAAAUACGCAAGGAAGUUUUGGACAACGUUAUGGAUGUUUUCUGCUACAUUAAAAGCUUGUGGGGGUAGAUGAACGGAUUUCAGUUGAUUAAUGUUUUUUGCAAUUGAGUUUGAGAAUGAAGUAACUGAUGUUCUGGAGCCGAAUGGUUGAGAUUGAGAAACAUCAGAUGAAUUUUGGCAAGAACCUUGAUCUUAAUCCUCAAAAGGACUUGAAACAUCAGAUGAAUCUAAGGCCCCAUUUGGUGCAGAUGGAUAUAAUUAUAAUCAUAAUCUGCCAGUCGGAUUAAUCUACGAGUUUCAUGAUUUUCAAAUGAAUUUGCUCGAGUGAAUCUUGAAAGUUAAAAACACAUGAAGCAUUUAUAUGGUGAAGCCACCUAAUCUACCUUCGUGGCACCAUUCAAAACAAUCGAUUUUAAAUUAAAUUGAUAUGUAGAAUGUGAUAAAGCCAUUCAGUAAAAGUGGACAUCCAAAGAGGAAUUAAUCAUCUAAGGUACAGGCCAAAAAAAUAUUUUAAAUGAGUGAGAUUAAAUAAUCAUAUUAUCUUUUAUGGCUGAUGUUCUCGACGCAUGUAUUCAAUAAUUUGCUAAAAAAAUCUUUUUCUUUGAGUGUUAACUGUUAAG